RNAcentral lists this ribosomal RNA (253 nucleotides) under uncultured bacterium. Its description in RNAcentral is "partial 16S ribosomal RNA". It matches the Rfam family "Bacterial small subunit ribosomal RNA", at positions 524 to 776 of the family's 1533-position model. The record is from RNAcentral.
UACGUAGGUGGCAAGCGUUGUCCGGAAUUAUUGGGCGUAAAGCGCGCGCAGGCGGUUUCUUAAGUCUGAUGUGAAAGCCCACGGCUCAACCGUGGAGGGUCAUUGGAAACUGGGGAACUUGAGUGCAGAAGAGAAGAGCGGAAUUCCACGUGUAGCGGUGAAAUGCGUAGAGAUGUGGAGGAACACCAGUGGCGAAGGCGGCUCUUUGGUCUGUAACUGACGCUGAGGCGCGAAAGCGUGGGUAGCAAACAGG